Molecule: long non-coding RNA, 3962 nt
Organism: Hipposideros armiger (great roundleaf bat)
Lineage: Eukaryota; Metazoa; Chordata; Mammalia; Chiroptera; Hipposideridae
Exons: 3
Source: RefSeq, a predicted model, not a curated record
GGCGGCGGGCAGGGCCGCCCCGGCACAGGCACAGCUCUGAUGACGCUGGGACGCACGUCCUUGUCCCCCGCUGCAGCUACAGGAGCAGAGCAGUGCCCUCCGUGCUUGGCACUGGGCCGGCAUCACCACCAUUUCUGAAUGUCUAUUUCAUUUUCUUUCGAGGUGAAGCUCCUGCCCUGUGCACGCACAGGUCACUCCACGCAGAGACGGGCGCUUCCUGCCACUAGAGGGCCCUGGGAGAAGGCUCGCAGCAUGCCUCUUCCAAAAUCACCAGAAAGACACCUGCACAGGUUGUCGUGAACACGUCCACACUCCCAGCCUGUGUCAGGGAGACUGGGAUGGCACGCCCGCCCGUGGGCCCCGCGGGUGGGCCCGGCAGUGCCGUGUGCCAUCCCCAGAGCCGGUCCUGGCCUCUCGGCCCCCGCUGUCCUCUGCUUGCUCUCAGAGUGCUCUCACCCUUCUGUCUUAGUUUCCUGGGGCAACCACCACAAAUGGAAACAAACUGUGUGGCUUAAAACCGCAAGUUUAUUCAGAAGGCCUGAAGUCCCGAGUUGGGCGUCAGCAGGGCGGCUCGUCUGGAGGCCCGAGGGGGCUCUGUCCCAGGCCUCUCGCCAGCUUCUCCAGUCACCACAUUUCAGUCCUGCCCUGGUCCAGGAUGACCACAUCUGGAGACCCUUAACACAGUUACAUCUGCAAAGGUUGUCUUUCCAAAACAGGCCACGUUCACAGGUACCAGGAGUCAGGACUUGGACAGAUCUUUUCAGGGACGCAACUCAUUCCACUUUGAUGAGCCCAUAGUUCCUGCCUAACUCCCGGCUCCUGGCCUUGACCCUCGAGAGGCCCCGCAUCCGUGCCGGCCGCCCAGGGGUCCACUCCCACUCGUUGGACUUGAUGGCACACCUCUGCCGAGCCCCUGUCCUAUCUGCUACAAACGCCUCAAUCCCAGGCUUGGAACAAACAAAACCACCAUGCGCAACGCAAGUAAUUAAGAAAAGAGGCCACGUGAUGGGUCUGCUGUCAAAGAGGAAAACCAGAAAAGCACAUUUGCUGAACAGCCCCGCCUUUGCCUUGUACCCAGGACAGGUGGGCGUUUUGCAACUAGUGACCAGGGGAAGCAGCAGAGCUGGGCCCGCCGGCACCUGUCUAUCCUCUGGGCGGCACCUUACCGACUCCUGGUCAUAGAGGGCCUUCAGCCGCCCCCGCCACUUGGGCCUCUGCCGCAGCAGCCCGCAGCGGGGGAAAGGCAGACACAAGAAGCACACCCAGUUGCUCAUGGCCUGGACCUUCCCCGAGGUCCCAGGGCCCGCCAGGGCGUCCACGCACUCGAAGCAGUAGCACCUAGAGGGGAGCAGAAAACCAGCGACUGAGAUGAAACGGCCUCAGUCAGCCACCAAGGGAAAGCGCGUCUGUCCGCCGGCGAGGGGAGCCUGCCCCGGCUUUGGUGCCAGCGAUGGAAACCACACCGGGCUCACGUGAGCAGACAGAGUUGGCCUUGGCCAUCAGCGUCUCACACGGUGGAAAGGUGAGGCUGUGGACCAGGGAAGGGGGACCAGUUCCUCUUAGGGACCCCUGGCCAUGACCAGCAGCCCCCAGGGUGCAGGGCUUCCCUCACUGCCCUACAUCCUGAUCGACAGAGCAGCUACGCCUUGGCAAUAACAAUCACAGAAAGAAAAAUUGGAAAUUCAGAUGUUUGGACGCCCUAUCUGCCAUUGUCAACGCUCUACCCCAGGUGAAAUUUUUGAGAUGGGAACUGAAAGCUUUGGAGAAAGCCCUCCUUUGCAGGGGAAGUCCCUCACACUCCGGGAUGUGUGGCUGACAAGGAUGGAAACUUCCUAGGCUCCUGGGCCCUCAGUCGACCCCACCUGGGCGCUCCUCGCCUCACCGGGUGCAGUCGGGGUUUUCACAGAUGAGCAGCGUGUUGCCCGUGCAGCAGAUGGAGCAGUAGGACUGGUACCCGUCUUCGUCGUACAAGAAGAAGCAGUCCAAGAACUUGUCCUUGGUGAGGGACAAACCCGGCCGCUGCCUCCUCUGCUCCAACGGAGGCGUCCGCGACCACCCCUCACCUCCCUGCUUACCUUGCACGGGGCACAUAUCCCUCCCUCAAACAGAGGGUGCUGAGUAUACACCUGAAAACUUCCACAGCAGAUGCACAGGUCUACGGGGGACAGCCAGAGGGCGGCGUGUGUCACAACACCCUCAAGCAGAGCAACACGCUUGGGGGUGAAUUUAACAAAGCAAGUGCAAGCCCCAUGCAUUGAAAACCACGGAGCACCGAUGAAAGAGAUUCAAGAUCUGAAUAAACAUAGGAUGUCCCGUGUUCAUGGAUCAGAAGGCUGCGUAUUGUUAAAGCGGCACGCCUCCCCCACAGAAAUGGAUAAGCUGAUCCUAAAAUGCAUGUGGAAAAGCAAGACAUCCAGAACAGGCAAACCCAUGGAGAAAGGUAGUAGAUCCCUGGCUGCCCGAUGUUGAAAGAAGAGGGGUGGUAAGGAAAGGCGUGACACGGCCGUGGAGUUUUUUCUGGGGAAUUGGUGAUAAAAAUGUCCUCAAAUUAGAUUGUGGGUGUGACGGCACAACUCUGUGAACAUCCUAAAAGACACUGAGCUAUACACCUUAAGCAAAGCUUUGGGGGCUGGGCCGGUGGAGGGGAGGGGAGCAGGGCAGCUGCGGUGUCGCUGCCCCCUUCCAGGGAUGGACGCCCGGGUGAGGCCGCAGCACGCCUUUCCAGAGCUGGCUGACAUCCCCCUUUACCUGGGCGUGGGCAGGUGUGCGACCACUCACCUUCUAUGUCUCGCUGGUUAACCUUGACUUCGUAUGCGAUACGGUCUGGAAAAGAGAAUUGAGCAGUGGACCCUUCCUUCUUCGGCGGGUCUGCCAUUUAAACACGGCUGAGAAGCGUGUCACAGCUGGUCUUCUGAAGUCACAGGAGCCAGAGGACCCCCUCCUCCCCCCACCUUUCCUGGCAUGUUAAACAUCCAGGCUUGGGGGGGCCUGGGGGGGCCUUCCUGGCCCUGCCAGGUACCUGAAUGAUGUGUGAACAUUCCUAGGUGUUGCCCAGGCCUGGGGUUGGCAUCCUAAGUGAUAAGUGGGCCCUCACCUCUGCGGAGCCUUGGUGACCCGGGGGACGACAGCUCACUGGAGCCCACCAGGAUGACGUCCAUGUUGCACUCUGCACCUGGGUCCAGGACUGACACAGCCACCAUGGGGAUGCCGCCCAGGAGACAGGACACCCGUGAGCAGAGGAGGAAAUGGCCCCCGGCCCUCAGCACGGGGGACAAAGCCGACCACCCAGCUCGGCCCCCACCCACCUACUGCGACACCCACUCCUCCCGACGCAGAAGGAAGGUCAUCCGGGCAGGAAGGCUGGAGGGAAACUGAGGUCCAGAGAGGGUCACAUGGCCAAAAGAAGCUAAAGCCACAAGUGUCACCAGGAGAUCGGAACUCCCCUGAUGCCCACCAGCUGGGAAGUCCUUGGGGGCCAGGGACCAGGGUCCCCCUGCUCUGCGUCUCAAGCUGAGGCCUGGCUGGUGUUAUGAGUCUCCUGAGGUCAUCGGGACUCAGGACUACUGACUCCUGGGAGUCUAGCCCUUUCAGCAGAGCCACACAGACUGAAGCCUCCAUCUGGAGCAGAGGGAGAAGAUCACAGUGUCCAGGCUUCUUUGAGGGGCCAAGGCCAAGUAGCCGAAGGGCAGGGCCCCUCUAAUCCCCGCCUGCCACUGGGACCUCACCCCUCCUUGACCUCUGGGUGAGUCACACAGGGAGCAUUUCCCCAUCUUUGCAAGCUGGUAUAUCUGAUAUACCUGGGCACCCAAGGAGCAUCCUGUGUGUUGCGAACAUGGACCUAGACACCACCCAUCCAAGGCCAUGUACUAGCUGUGUGACUUUGGUUCAGUAACCUGCCUGUGCCUCAGUCUCUUGUCGAUAGAAAAGGGAUAAUAAAACGCUGACCUUAUAGGGAAGUUCUG